Molecule: transfer RNA, 75 nt
Filed under: Candidatus Omnitrophota bacterium
Lineage: Bacteria; Pseudomonadati; Candidatus Omnitrophota
Description: tRNA-Glu
Rfam family: tRNA
About the family: Transfer RNA (tRNA) molecules are approximately 80 nucleotides in length. Their secondary structure includes four short double-helical elements and three loops (D, anti-codon, and T loops). Further hydrogen bonds mediate the characteristic L-shaped molecular structure. tRNAs have two regions of fundamental functional importance: the anti-codon, which is responsible for specific mRNA codon recognition, and the 3' end, to which the tRNAs corresponding amino acid is attached (by aminoacyl-tRNA synthetases). tRNAs cope with the degeneracy of the genetic code in two manners: having more than one tRNA (with a specific anti-codon) for a particular amino acid; and 'wobble' base-pairing, i.e. permitting non-standard base-pairing at the 3rd anti-codon position.
Source: RNAcentral
GUCCCCAUCGUCUAGUCUGGUCUAGGACAAGAGCUUUUCAAGCUCUCGACAGGGGUCCGAAUCCCCUUGGGGACA